Molecule: ribosomal RNA, 234 nt
Filed under: uncultured bacterium
Lineage: Bacteria
Description: partial 16S ribosomal RNA
Rfam family: Bacterial small subunit ribosomal RNA
Source: RNAcentral
AGGAAUGCAUGGGUAACCUGCCCUUGAGAAGGGAAUAACCCGCCGAAAGGUGGGCUAAUACCCUAUACGCUUCUCUUUUUAUGAAGAGGGAAGGAAAGCUAAGCCGUGGGCUUGGCACUCAAGGAGGGGCUCAUGUCCUAUCAGCUUGUUGGUGGGGUAACGGCCUACCAAGGCUACGACGGGUAGCUGGUCUGAGAGGAUGAUCAGCCACACUGGCACUGAGAUACGGGCCAG